AGUGGAAUAACUGGGUCAAAUGGUGGUUCCAUUUCAAGUUUUCUAAGGAGUCUCCAUACUGCUUUCCAGAGUGGUUGCACCAAUUUGCGGUCCUAUCAGCAAU
Molecule: microRNA precursor, 103 nt
Filed under: Marmota monax (woodchuck)
Lineage: Eukaryota; Metazoa; Chordata; Mammalia; Rodentia; Sciuridae
Source: RNAcentral